Molecule: ribosomal RNA, 498 nt
Filed under: uncultured bacterium
Lineage: Bacteria
Description: partial 16S ribosomal RNA
Rfam family: Bacterial small subunit ribosomal RNA
Source: RNAcentral
GACGAACGCUGGCGGCGUGCCUAAUACAUGCAAGUCGAGCGAAGUUUUUCUGGUGCUUGCACUAGAAAAACUUAGCGGCGAACGGGUGAGUAACACGUAAAGAACCUGCCUCAUAGACUGCGACAACUAUUGGAAACGAUAGCUAAUACCGGAUAACAGUAUUUCUCGCAUGAGAGAUAUUUAAAAGUUGGUUAUGCUAACACUAUGAAAUGGCUUUGCGGUGCAUUAGCUAGUUGGUGGGGUAAAGGCCCACCAAGGCGACGAUGCAUAGCCGACCUGAGAGGGUGAUCGGCCACACUGGGACUGAGACACGGCCCAGACUCCUACGGGAGGCAGCAGUAGGGAAUCUUCCGCAAUGGGCGAAAGCCUGACGGAGCAACGCCGCGUGAGUGAAGAAGGAUUUCGGUUCGUAAAGCUCUGUUGUUAGGGAAGAAUGGAUAUGUAGUAACUAUACAUGUAAGAGACGGUACCUAACCAGAAAGCCACGGCUAACUACGU